RNAcentral lists this ribosomal RNA (423 nucleotides) under uncultured bacterium. Its description in RNAcentral is "partial 16S ribosomal RNA". It matches the Rfam family "Bacterial small subunit ribosomal RNA", at positions 359 to 774 of the family's 1533-position model. The record is from RNAcentral.
GAAUAUUGGCCAAUGGGCGAAAGCCUGAUCCAGCCAUGCCGCGUGUGUGAAGCAUGUCUUCGGAUUGUAAAGCCCUUUUCGUUGGGAGGUAGGGCAGUAAGCGAAUACCUUGCUGUUUUGACGUUACCGACAGAAUAAGCACCGGCUAACUCUGUGCCUGCAGCCGCGGUACUACAGAGGGUGCAAGCCUUACUCGGAAUUACUGGGCGUAAAGCGCGCGGAGGUGGUUCGUUAAGUUGGAUGUGAAAUCCCCGGGCUCAACCUGGGAACUGCAUCCAAAACUGGCGAGCUAGAGUAGGGCAGAGGGUGGUGGAAUUUCCUGUGUAGCGGUGAAAUGCGUAGAUAUAGGAAGGAACACCAGUGGCGAAGGCGACCACCUGGGCUCAUACUGACACUGAGGUGCGAAAGCGUGGGGAGCAAACA